GGUGGGAGGCUCCGCCGCCGGACGUCGCACCGGAGUGGGAGGGCGAGGGUGCGGUGAGCGCGUCCAUGGUGGGGCCGGGCGUGAUUCUAGAAGCUUCCAGGGGUUAGGGUUUGGGUGAGAUCUGGGAUCCCGAAGCUUCCGAGCCGCACCCGCACCGGCGAGGAGGAUGAGAGUCGCGAGCUGCUCAGUGCUCACUGGCUGGUGGGCUCCACCUCGCAUGUCCCCACCUGUCUAUGGGAUCUCCUCCGCGUGACUGGGAUUAGAAUCGGGCCCCACCUGUCAGUGUCU
RNAcentral lists this long non-coding RNA (288 nucleotides) under Oryza brachyantha (malo sina). RNAcentral describes it as "long non-coding RNA (OBRA_LNC002754)". Lineage: Eukaryota; Viridiplantae; Streptophyta; Magnoliopsida; Poales; Poaceae. The record is from RNAcentral.